This is a non-coding RNA of Spodoptera litura, 154 nucleotides long. The record is from RefSeq and is a predicted model, not a curated record. Lineage: Eukaryota; Metazoa; Arthropoda; Insecta; Lepidoptera; Noctuidae.
UAAUCCAAUCAGAACCUUUGAAUGUUUUAAGGGCAAAUGCACUGUCUGAACAUAUAGCAUCAUUUCGAUAUGGUCUACCGAAUAGUACAGCAUUUCAUAAUAAUGUUAGGAAAAGACGCCAAAAAAGUUCUUUGGAGUACGUAUUUCAGAGGCU